AGCGAACGCUGGCGGCAGGCCUAACACAUGCAAGUCGAACGAACCUUUCGGGGUUAGUGGCGGACGGGUGAGUAACACGUGGGAACGUGCCUUUAGGUUCGGAAUAACUCAGGGAAACUUGUGCUAAUACCGAAUGUGCCCUUCGGGGGAAAGAUUUAUCGCCUUUAGAGCGGCCCGAGUCUGAUUAGCUAGUUGGUUGAGGUAAUGGCUCACCAAGGCGACGAUCAGUAGCUGGUCUGAGAGGAUGAUCAGCCACAUUGGGACUGAGACACGGCCCAAACUCCUACGGGAGGCAGCAGUGGGGAAUCUUGCGCAAUGGGCGAAAGCCUGACGCAGCCAUGCCGCGUGAAUGAUGAAGGUCUUAGGAUUGUAAAAUUCUUUCACCGGGGACGAUAAUGACGGUACCCGGAGAAGAAGCCCCGGCUAACUUCGUG
This 434-nucleotide ribosomal RNA is filed under the name uncultured bacterium. RNAcentral describes it as "partial 16S ribosomal RNA". It matches the Rfam family "Bacterial small subunit ribosomal RNA", at positions 29 to 507 of the family's 1533-position model. The record is from RNAcentral.